Long non-coding RNA from Leopardus geoffroyi (Geoffroy's cat), 616 nucleotides. RefSeq lists it as uncharacterized. The transcript has 3 exons. The record is from RefSeq and is a predicted model, not a curated record. NCBI's taxonomy places the organism in Eukaryota, Metazoa, Chordata, Mammalia, Carnivora, Felidae.
AUGAGAAUCAAGGUUUGGUUUUGGCUGUAUUGAGUCUGAGAUGCCCAAGAGACACAUCCAAGUGCAGUUGUGGAGUAGGUGAAUAGAUCAAUGAGUCUCUCAAGUUCAAGAGAAAAGUAUUUCAAGUUAUUGAACUGGAUGAGAUCAGCUAGAGGAGCAGGUCAUUUUGUUCUAAUCCAGGGCCUGCGUAUACCAUGUUGCACCUGGGAGACCUUAGUGUUUACUUCUUGAGGGAAAGAUGCCAUCACUCACCAACUUACAGGCAUGUAACUUGAUGGUCUCACUAAUGUGCACUUUCUCUCUUUUAGUUUACCUACUUUCUUGAUAAUGUCCUUUUCCGGUUCACUAUUCUAAUUGGCUUCUUCGAUCUGCCCUGAUGAUAUACAUCACCUUCUUUACCUAUCAGGCCAUUAUACUUAGCUUACGGAAUGUUCUGAAAAUACUGAAUGCCUUCAUUGAGGGGGUGACAAGUUGAAAAGUUUCAGGUAUGCAAUAUAGUGAUUCAACAAUUCUAUACAUUACUCAGUGCUCACGAAGAUAAGUGUACUUCACCCAUCUCUCCCAUCCCCCCACCCACCUCCCCUCUGGUAACCACCUGUUUGUUUAUAUAGUUAAA